ANAGCAUUACAAGCGNAACUGCGAAUGGCUCAUUAUAUAAGUUAUCGUUUAUUUGAUAGUACCUUACUACAUGGAUAACCGUGGUAAUUCUAGAGCUAAUACAUGCUGAAAAUCCCGACUUCGGAAGGGAUGUAUUUAUUAGAUUCAAAACCAAUGCCCUUCGGGGCUCCAAUGGUGAUUCAUGAUAACUUCUCGAAUCGCACGGCCCCGCGCCGGCGAUGGUUCAUUCAAAUUUCUUCCCUAUCAACUUUCGAUGCUACGGUAGUGUCCUAGCAUGGUUGCAACGGGUAACGGGGAAUA
RNAcentral lists this ribosomal RNA (300 nucleotides) under uncultured fungus. RNAcentral describes it as "SSU rRNA". It matches the Rfam family "Eukaryotic small subunit ribosomal RNA", at positions 66 to 371 of the family's 1831-position model. Lineage: Eukaryota; Fungi. The record is from RNAcentral.